RNAcentral lists this long non-coding RNA (1334 nucleotides) under Homo sapiens (human). RNAcentral's name for it is "non-protein coding lnc-AARS2-4:4". The record is from RNAcentral. Lineage: Eukaryota; Metazoa; Chordata; Mammalia; Primates; Hominidae.
AAGCUGCUAGAGGGAGCGGCGGGCAGCGGACGGCGGGAAAAGGAGACUUACCUCGGUAUUCCUCCAUACGCCCCCCUUGAUCAUAAUUCGAGGCAUCUUGGCGGCAGGGUGUCUCGGCAAGCAGCCGAGAGGAGCUUCAGAGAAGUAGUAACAGCGAUUGGGCCACCGGACUCAAAGCCGCCACUUCCUCCAAGCGCGACCUUCUGCUUUGAAGAUCUGCGCAAGCGCAAGGUCUUCGAGAUUUUAACACUGGAGCAUAGAGGAGGUCAGUCUCUACUGACUGCUGAACAUCCAACACGUGACACCCAGGAGUUGUCUACCACCAUGUUUUGGACUAAGGGAAAAAAGCAGGUGGAUUGUUGCAUUUGCAGAUUUAACAUUCUUAAAUUUCCAAGCACAAUUACUACACUAUUUAAAGAUAUGAACAACUUUGAUGACAGUAAUGGAGCAGUACAAAACUGAUUCAUCAAAUAACUUGGGAAAAAACCUACAAUUUUUAUUAAUAGAUGAUAGAUAAUAACAUUUCUAUUCAUAGAUAAUAAUUCCAGCCAUAAUGAAGUAGCGGGGAUCAGAUUUACUCUCCUGACUUAAACAAGUAGAAAACUGGACAAAAUGUAUGAAAUAACAAUUUUCAGAAUGAGACAACAGGCAGCACAGGAUUGUGAUCCUAAAGAAAAGGAAAGCAAAUGAAGAGAUUCCUGUAAUCACCCAGCUUUGCCUGGAGGCACAUUCAAGACCACAGCGUAGGAUGAGCAACCCCACACAGAGCAUGGCAUUCUCUAUGAGUUUGAGGAGCCGAAGAUCCAAGUUCAGAGAGUCUUGGAGGACUGGAAGCUGCAGGGCAGAGUUCUGGGGAAGAAGGAACUUUACAAAAAAAUGAAAGUAAGAAAUUUACACAGCACUUCCUUUGAGUCUUUGCUGAAUAUUAAGACACACAUGUGUAGGGUAGAACUCCAAAAGAUCAGACAAUAGAGUGACUGGGAACUGAAUGGGCUCACAAAGGGCUAAAAAUCAUUUUAGUUCCCACCAACUAAAGUGAAGACUCCUCACUGAUCACUCAAGGUAUUCUGCAGAGACUCUAAAAGGGCCACAUCUUACUUAGUAAUGGAGUUAAACUAUCCCUAAAGACUGCUUUAGACACGCCCUAACAAAGCUUGAAAACAAGCCUCAAACCAAACUGCAAGUGACUUAACUGCCUGCUACAGCAAAGACCAGCACUCUUUAAAAGAAGACCACAAGGCCUGUUGCGGUGGCUCACGCCUGUAAUCCCAGCACUUUGGGAGCCCAAGGCAGGUGGAUCACGAAGUCAAGAGAUUGAAACCAGCCUGGUCAAC